CCUACGGGAGGCUGCAGUGGGGAAUUGUUCGCAAUGGGCGCAAGCCUGACGACGCAACGCCGCGUGGAGGAUGAAGGUCUUCGGAUUGUAAACUCCUGUUGCCCGGGACGCGGUACCGGGUGAGGAAGCCCCGGCUAACUCUGUGCCAGCAGCCGCGGUAAUACAGAGGGGGCAAGCGUUGUUCGGAAUUACUGGGCGUAAAGGGUGCGUAGGCGGCCUUCUAAGUCGAACGUGAAAUCCCCGGGCUCAACCCGGGAACUGCGUCCGAUACUGGAAGGCUUGAAUCCGGGAGAGGGAUGCGGAAUUCCAGGUGUAGCGGUGAAAUGCGUAGAUAUCUGGAGGAACACCGGUGGCGAAGGCGGCAUCCUGGACCGGAUUGACGCUGAGGCGCGAAAGCCAGGGGAGCAAACGGGAUUAGAUACCCUGGUAGUC
RNAcentral lists this ribosomal RNA (432 nucleotides) under uncultured bacterium. Its description in RNAcentral is "partial 16S ribosomal RNA". It matches the Rfam family "Bacterial small subunit ribosomal RNA", at positions 338 to 795 of the family's 1533-position model. The record is from RNAcentral.